GACAGAGGUGCCGAGCGUUAGGCGGAAUCACUGGGCUUAAAGCGUGUGUAGGCGGUUUUGUAAGCCAGAUGUGAAAUCCCCGGGCUUAACCUGGGAAUGGCAUUUGGGACUGCAAAGCUGGAGUACGGCAGAGGGAGGUGGAAUUCCACGUGUAGCAGUGAAAUGCGUAGAGAUGUGGAGGAACACCGAUGGCGAAGGCAGCCUCCUGGGCUAGUACUGACGCUCAUGCACGAAAGCGUGGGGAGCAAACAGG
This 253-nucleotide ribosomal RNA is filed under the name uncultured bacterium. RNAcentral describes it as "partial 16S ribosomal RNA". It matches the Rfam family "Bacterial small subunit ribosomal RNA", at positions 524 to 776 of the family's 1533-position model. The record is from RNAcentral.